AGCUAGUUGGUGGGGUAAAAGCUCACCAAGGCGACGAUCUGUAGCGGGUCUGAGAGGAUGAUCCGCCACACUGGAACUGAGACACGGUCCAGACUCCUACGGGAGGCAGCAGUGGGGAAUUUUGGACAAUGGGGGCAACCCUGAUCCAGCCAUGCCGCGUGAGUGAAGAAGGCCUUCGGGUUGUAAAGCUCUUUCGGCCGGGAAGAAAUCGUAUCAGCUAAUACCUGGUGCGGAUGACGGUACCGGCAUAAGAAGCACCGGCUAACUACGUGCCAGCAGCCGCGGUAAUACGUAGGGUGCGAGCGUUAAUCGGAAUUACUGGGCGUAAAGCGUGCGCAGGCGGUUUUGUAAGACAGGCGUGAAAUCCCCGGGCUCAACCUGGGAACUGCGUUUGUGACUGCAAGGCUAGAGUACGGCAGAGGGGGGUGGAAUUCCACGUGUAGCAGUGAAAUGCGUAGAGAUGUGGAGGAACACCAAUGGCGAAGGCAGCCCCCUGGGUCGAUACUGACACUCAUGCACGAAAGCGUGGGUAGCAAACAGGAUUAGAUACCCUGGUAGUCCACGCCCUAAACGAUGUCAACUAGGUGUUGGGAGGGUAAAACCUUUUAGUACCGGAGCUAACGCGUGAAGUUGACCGCCUGGGGAGUACGGCCGCAAGGUUAAAACUCAAAGGAAUUGACGGGGACCCGCACAAGCGGUGGAUGAUGUGGAUUAAUUCGAUGCAACGCGAAAAACCUUACCUACCCUUGACAUGUCAGGAACUUUCCAGAGAUGGAUUGGUGCUCGAAAGAGAACCUGAACACAGGUGCUGCAUGGCUGUCGUCAGCUCGUGUCGUGAGAUGUUGGGUUAAGUCCCGCAACGAGCGCAACCCUUGUCGUUAAUUGCCAUCAUUUAGUUGGGCACUUUAGCGAGACUGCCGGUGACAAACCGGAGGAAGGUGGGGAUGACGUCAAGUCCUCAUGGCCCUUAUGGGUAGGGCUUCACACGUCAUACAAUGGUCGGUACAAAGGGUCGCCAACCCGCGAGGGGGAGCUAAUCCCAGAAAGCCGAUCGUAGUCCGGAUUGCAGGCUGCAACUCGCCUGCAUGAAGUCGGAAUCGCUAGUAAUCGUGGAUCAGCAUGUCACGGUGAAUACGUUCCCGGGUCUUGUACACACCGCCCGUCACACCAUGGGAGCGGGUUCCGCCAGAAGUAGGUAGCCUAACCGCAAGGAGGGCGCUUACCACGGCGGGGUUCGUGACUGGGGUGAAGUCGUAACAAGGUAGCCGUAGGGGAACCUGCGGCUG
Molecule: ribosomal RNA, 1286 nt
Filed under: metagenome
Description: bacterial SSU rRNA
Rfam family: Bacterial small subunit ribosomal RNA
Source: RNAcentral